CCUAGCUAAAAUAGCAGCUAUUGAGGAUGGUAUGCCCCCCAGUAGUUCAAAACCCGAGUAUCAACCGCAGACUUGGCAUGUAUGUCUUUGCCACUCAACAACAAAAAAGAAGAAUCAGAAGAUGAAGACGGAAGAGCCCCCCCUCCCACCUCCC
Non-coding RNA from Doryrhamphus excisus (bluestripe pipefish), 154 nucleotides. The record is from RefSeq and is a predicted model, not a curated record. Lineage: Eukaryota; Metazoa; Chordata; Actinopteri; Syngnathiformes; Syngnathidae.